AAGCACAUACGAAAAAAUAUAUAAAG
Molecule: small RNA, 26 nt
Filed under: Bombyx mori (domestic silkworm)
Lineage: Eukaryota; Metazoa; Arthropoda; Insecta; Lepidoptera; Bombycidae
Description: ovarian small RNA-10561
Source: RNAcentral